This 254-nucleotide ribosomal RNA is filed under the name uncultured bacterium. Its description in RNAcentral is "partial 16S ribosomal RNA". It matches the Rfam family "Bacterial small subunit ribosomal RNA", at positions 524 to 776 of the family's 1533-position model. The record is from RNAcentral.
GACGAACCGUGCGAACGUUAAUCGGAUUCAUUGGGCUUAAAGGGCGCGUAGGCGGCGGCGUAAGUUCGUGGUGAAAUCCCAUCGGCUCAACCGUGGAAUUGCUUCGAAUACUGCGUCGCUCGAGGGAGAUAGGGGACCGCAGAACUGCCGGUGGAGCGGUGAAAUGUGUUGAUAUCGGCGGGAAUGCCAGUGCCGAAAGGGGCGGUCUGGACCUGUUCUGACGCUGAGGCGCGAAAGCUAGGGGAGCGAACGGG